AUGUCAACACAGACAUCUGUAACUGAUCUCUGUCCUGCGGAUACCUAUCGCCACAAUUGCCUCCAAAUGAAGCUGCACUGUUCCUGCAAAAUCAGAAUUAGAAGUGAGGACUUCUCUUUCAACAUAUCAGUCAUGCAAGGCCAAGCGAGAUGCAGGGAAGGGAGCAGAGCUGGCAGGAGGAGCAGCUAUAUUUACAGAGCCAACGAAAAGCAACAUUGGCCACAAGGGUACCUCAGCUUGGAGGCAAUGGUUCAUUUUUCUAAGAACAGCAUGCUGUUUGCUUGA
Molecule: long non-coding RNA, 285 nt
Filed under: Anser brachyrhynchus (Pink-footed goose)
Lineage: Eukaryota; Metazoa; Chordata; Aves; Anseriformes; Anatidae
Description: lncRNA (ENSABRG00000006253.1)
Source: RNAcentral